This 497-nucleotide ribosomal RNA is filed under the name uncultured bacterium. RNAcentral's name for it is "partial 16S ribosomal RNA". It matches the Rfam family "Bacterial small subunit ribosomal RNA", at positions 38 to 507 of the family's 1533-position model. The record is from RNAcentral.
GGGGGGGGGGGGGGGGGGGGGGGGGGGGGGGGGGGGGGGGGGGGGGAGGGGGGGCUGGCCCCGCGGGCGUUCGCGGCGGGCGGGGGCGGCGCACGGGGCGAGCCUGCCUAUGCGACCGGGGUACCUUAGGGAGCCCGGAGCUCAUCCCGGGUGCUAGAGUGGCCCGCACGGUUCCAUAGUUCACGACGGUUUUGCUGUCACUUCUAGAUUGCUCCGCGCCGCCUUAGCUAGUUGGUAAGGUAACGGCUUACCAAGGCAACGAUGAGUAGACGACCUGAGAGGGUGAUCGGCCACACUGGAACUGAGACACGGUCCAGACUCCUACGGGAGGCAGCAGUAGGGAAUCUUCCGCAAUGGGCGAAAGCCUGACGGAGCAACGCCGCGUGAGUGAUGAAGGUCUUCGGAUCGUAAAACUCUGUUAUUAGGGAAGAACAAAUGUGUAAGUAACUAUGCACGUCUUGACGGUACCUAAUCAGAAAGCCACGGCUAACUACGUG